Molecule: unclassified non-coding RNA, 595 nt
Filed under: Tolpis farinulosa
Lineage: Eukaryota; Viridiplantae; Streptophyta; Magnoliopsida; Asterales; Asteraceae
Description: partial external transcribed spacer
Source: RNAcentral
GGAUAGAGAGCUGGCAGGCAGGGUGCUUGGUCGCGACUUGGAGUACCGGGGGCGCAACGCCCUGGAAUGCUUGGUGGUCGUAUCGGCUUUUAGUUGCUUGCUUGGUGUUAGUGCCAAGGGAGUGGUUGGAAGCUAGGUCGUCCUCUGGAAUGCUUGUUGUAAAGGUGUAUGAGUUGUGUUUGGCUUGUUACGGGUGUUUGUUGGCUGCUUGUGCAGGAACUUUCAUGCGUCCAAGCCUCUUCAGUUGUGCUACAAGGCCUUGUUUGUCUUGUGCAUACGGUGGGUUUCCUGUGUUGCAUACCUAAUCAAGGGCAUCGUAUGGCUUGAUCGAAGUAAAUAUUCGUAAUGCGCCGCUUGUGGCGUUGCACGAACCUCGAAGUGGUCUCUGUGGCCCAUGUUGUCUUUGCUCACGCAUGGAUGGCAUGGCCCUCGGAGCGUCGCUUGGUCUCUUGGAUACGGAACCUGAUGAUGUGGGCGGUAGGGUCUUGGAUGAUUCUACCUUCGCCUUCCAUGAGCGUUCUCGCUUCUCUAAACGACCGUCUGUCAUGCGCCGGCAUGUCCGUGCAUGGUGGGCUUAGUCGAAGAGGAAUGCUAC